RNAcentral lists this ribosomal RNA (485 nucleotides) under Veillonella parvula. RNAcentral's name for it is "bacterial SSU rRNA". It matches the Rfam family "Bacterial small subunit ribosomal RNA", at positions 28 to 480 of the family's 1533-position model. The record is from RNAcentral. Lineage: Bacteria; Bacillati; Bacillota; Negativicutes; Veillonellales; Veillonellaceae.
GACGAACGCUGGCGGCGUGCUUAACACAUGCAAGUCGAACGAAGAGCGAUGGAAGCUUGCUUCUAUCAAUCUUAGUGGCGAACGGGUGAGUAACGCGUAAUCAACCUGCCCUUCAGAGGGGGACAACAGUUGGAAACGACUGCUAAUACCGCAUACGAUCUAAUCUCGGCAUCGAGGAUAGAUGAAAGGUGGCCUCUACAUGUAAGCUAUCACUGAAGGAGGGGAUUGCGUCUGAUUAGCUAGUUGGAGGGGUAACGGCCCACCAAGGCGAUGAUCAGUAGCCGGUCUGAGAGGAUGAACGGCCACAUUGGGACUGAGACACGGCCCAGACUCCUACGGGAGGCAGCAGUGGGGAAUCUUCCGCAAUGGACGAAAGUCUGACGGAGCAACGCCGCGUGAGUGAUGACGGCCUUCGGGUUGUAAAGCUCUGUUAAUCGGGACGAAAGGCCUUCCUGCGAAUAGUGAGAAAGGAAUGACGGUAACCC